UACGUAGGUGGCAAGCGUUGUCCGGAUUUACUGGGCGUAAAGAGCGCGCAGGCGGUCGUUCAAGUCGCGUGUGAAAGCCCCCGGCUCAACUGGGGAGGGUCACGCGAUACUGAUCGACUCGAAGGCAGGAGAGGGUAGUGGAAUUCCCGGUGUAGUGGUGAAAUGCGUAGAUAUCGGGAGGAACACCAGUGGCGAAGGCGGCUCGCUGGACCGGUUCUGACGCUGAGGCGCGAAAGCGUGGGGAGCAAACAGG
Molecule: ribosomal RNA, 253 nt
Filed under: uncultured bacterium
Lineage: Bacteria
Description: partial 16S ribosomal RNA
Rfam family: Bacterial small subunit ribosomal RNA
Source: RNAcentral